GACGUUGACUCGUGCUCAGGACACGCUGGCGGCGUGCUUAACACAUGCAAGUCGUACGAUGACCCGGCUCUUCGGAGCUGGUGAUUAGUGGCGAACGGGUGAGUAACACGUGGGUGACCUGCCCUGCACUCUGGGAUAAGCCCGGGAAACUGGGUCUAAUACUGGAUACGACCAGUGGCCGCAUGGUCUGCUGGUGGAAAGCCCUUCGGGGUGGUGUGGGAUGGGCCCGCGGCCUAUCAGCUUGUUGGUGGGGUGAUGGCCUACCAAGGCGACGACGGGUAGCCGGCCUGAGAGGGUGUCCGGCCACACUGGGACUGAGACACGGCCCAGACUCCUACGGGAGGCAGCAGUGGGGAAUCUUGCACAAUGGGCGAAAGCCUGAUGCAGCGACGCCGCGUGAGGGAUGACGGCCUUCGGGUUGUAAACCUCUUUCGGCAGGGAACAAGCCUGGGGGGUUUUCUUCUGGGUGAGGGUACCUGCGGAAGAAGCACCGGCUAACUACGUG
RNAcentral lists this ribosomal RNA (505 nucleotides) under uncultured Actinomycetales bacterium. RNAcentral's name for it is "bacterial SSU rRNA". It matches the Rfam family "Bacterial small subunit ribosomal RNA", at positions 33 to 507 of the family's 1533-position model. The record is from RNAcentral. Lineage: Bacteria; Bacillati; Actinomycetota; Actinomycetes; Actinomycetales.